Molecule: ribosomal RNA, 252 nt
Filed under: uncultured bacterium
Lineage: Bacteria
Description: partial 16S ribosomal RNA
Rfam family: Bacterial small subunit ribosomal RNA
Source: RNAcentral
UACGUAGGUGGCAAGCGUUGUCCGGAUUUACUGGGCGUAAAGAGCGCGCAGGCGGUCGUGCAAGUCGCGUGUGAAAGCCCCCGGCUCAACUGGGGAGGGUCACGCGAUACUGCUCGACUUGAAGGCAGGAGAGGGAAGUGGAAUUCCCGGUGUAGUGGUGAAAUGCGUAGAUAUCGGGAGGAACACCAGUGGCGAAGGCGACUCCUGGCCUGUUCUUGACGCUGAGGCGCGAAAGCUAGGGUAGCAAACGGG